RNAcentral lists this ribosomal RNA (303 nucleotides) under uncultured bacterium. RNAcentral's name for it is "partial 16S ribosomal RNA". It matches the Rfam family "Bacterial small subunit ribosomal RNA", at positions 507 to 807 of the family's 1533-position model. The record is from RNAcentral.
AGCAGUCGCCGCGGUAAUACGAAGGGUGCAAGCGUUAAUCGGAAUUACUGGGCGUAAAGCGUGCGUAGGCGGUUUGUUAAGUCUGUUGUGAAAUCCCCGGGCUCAACCUGGGAAUGGCAAUGGAUACUGGCAAGCUAGAGUGUGUCAGAGGAUGGUGGAAUUCCCGGUGUAGCGGUGAAAUGCGUAGAGAUCGGGAGGAACAUCAGUGGCGAAGGCGGCCAUCUGGGACAACACUGACGCUGAGGCACGAAAGCGUGGGGAGCAAACAGGAUUAGAUACCCGGGUAGUCCCUGUCUCUUAUAC